UGAGCUUCCGUCCAAACUUACCCGGUUCCCCGCGUUUUUUGCUCUGUCUUUGCUCCACCAUGCCUUGCUCUGAAGAGCUAUCGGUCGUCUCCCCCAGCAAGCGGACCCGGCCUGCGGAGGAGGGCGGCAUGCGGCUCCGCUUUGUGCGUCUUUCGGAGCACGCCACGGCCCCCACCCGAGGGUCCUCGCGCGCCGCAGGCUACGACCUGUACAGUGCCUAUGAUUACACAGUACCAUCUAUGGAGAAAGCACUUGUAAAAACAGACAUUCAGAUAGCUCUUCCUUCUGGGUGCUAUGGAAGAGUAGCUCCACGUUCUGGCUUGGCUGCAAAACACUUCAUAGAUGUAGGAGCUGGUGUCAUAGAUGAAGAUUAUAGAGGAAAUGUUGGUGUUAUACUGUUCAAUUUUGGCAAAGAGAAAUUUGAAGUAAAAAAGGGUGAUCGAAUUGCUCAGCUCAUUUGUGAACGGAUUUUUUAUCCAGAAAUAGAAGAAGUUCAAGUGUUGGAUGAUACUGAAAGGGGUUCAGGAGGUUUUGGAUCCACUGGAAAGAAUUAAAAUUUGGGUCAAGAAUAGAAAAUGAGAAACAUACUUUUUUUCGUAAAAGUUGAGAGUUGCUGGUUGC
Castor canadensis (American beaver) is the source of this 621-nucleotide non-coding RNA. The record is from RefSeq and is a predicted model, not a curated record. Lineage: Eukaryota; Metazoa; Chordata; Mammalia; Rodentia; Castoridae.